Aedes aegypti (yellow fever mosquito) is the source of this 117-nucleotide non-coding RNA. The record is from Rfam. NCBI's taxonomy places the organism in Eukaryota, Metazoa, Arthropoda, Insecta, Diptera, Culicidae.
UGCCCAGCAACUCCUAUCCCUACCUCCUCGCGGUACUGGCUGGGGUACGAGUAACCUUAGGGAAGAUCGGGUAACCAACCCCCGGUGGGAACUUUGGUCGUAUGCUGACAGGGAAGA